UUAGGUAAAACAUGGGGUUGUCAACCCCAAGAGGCUUAAGUUUUGCACUUUCUUAUGAAACAUGCC
RNAcentral lists this transfer RNA (66 nucleotides) under Lamprotula caveata. Its description in RNAcentral is "tRNA-Asp". Lineage: Eukaryota; Metazoa; Mollusca; Bivalvia; Unionida; Unionidae. The record is from RNAcentral.